CCUUGUACACACCGCCCGUCACACCACGGAAGCAAGCAACACCCGAAGCCGGUGGCCUAACCCGCAAGGGAGGGAGCUGUCGAAGGUGGGGCUCGUGACUGGGGUG
This 106-nucleotide ribosomal RNA is filed under the name uncultured bacterium. Its description in RNAcentral is "partial 16S ribosomal RNA". It matches the Rfam family "Bacterial small subunit ribosomal RNA", at positions 1379 to 1482 of the family's 1533-position model. The record is from RNAcentral.